GACAGAGGGGGCAAGCGUUGCUCGGAAUUACUGGGCGUAAAGGGCGCGUAGGCGGGAUGGCAAGUCGGUCGUGAAAUCCCUCGGCUCAACCGAGGAACGUCGAUCGAUACUGCUGUUCUUGAGGAUUGCAGAGGAGACUGGAAUUUACGGUGUAGCGGUGAAAUGCGUAGAUAUCGUAAGGAAGACCAGUGGCGAAGGCGGGUCUCUGGACAGUUCCUGACGCUGAGGCACGAAGGCCAGGGGAGCAAACGGG
Molecule: ribosomal RNA, 253 nt
Filed under: uncultured bacterium
Lineage: Bacteria
Description: partial 16S ribosomal RNA
Rfam family: Bacterial small subunit ribosomal RNA
Source: RNAcentral